RNAcentral lists this ribosomal RNA (925 nucleotides) under Micrococcus sp. S2U16c. RNAcentral's name for it is "bacterial SSU rRNA". It matches the Rfam family "Bacterial small subunit ribosomal RNA", at positions 523 to 1443 of the family's 1533-position model. The record is from RNAcentral. Lineage: Bacteria; Bacillati; Actinomycetota; Actinomycetes; Micrococcales; Micrococcaceae.
AUACGUAGGGUGCGAGCGUUUAUCCGGAAUUAUUGGGCGUAAAGAGCUCGUAGGCGGUUUGUCGCGUCUGUCGUGAAAGUCCGGGGCUUAACCCCGGAUCUGCGGUGGGUACGGGCAGACUAGAGUGCAGUAGGGGAGACUGGAAUUCCUGGUGUAGCGGUGGAAUGCGCAGAUAUCAGGAGGAACACCGAUGGCGAAGGCAGGUCUCUGGGCUGUAACUGACGCUGAGGAGCGAAAGCAUGGGGAGCGAACAGGAUUAGAUACCCUGGUAGUCCAUGCCGUAAACGUUGGGCACUAGGUGUGGGGACCAUUCCACGGUUUCCGCGCCGCAGCUAACGCAUUAAGUGCCCCGCCUGGGGAGUACGGCCGCAAGGCUAAAACUCAAAGGAAUUGACGGGGGCCCGCACAAGCGGCGGAGCAUGCGGAUUAAUUCGAUGCAACGCGAAGAACCUUACCAAGGCUUGACAUGUUCUCGAUCGCCGUAGAGAUACGGUUUCCCCUUUGGGGCGGGUUCACAGGUGGUGCAUGGUUGUCGUCAGCUCGUGUCGUGAGAUGUUGGGUUAAGUCCCGCAACGAGCGCAACCCUCGUUCCAUGUUGCCAGCACGUAAUGGUGGGGACUCAUGGGAGACUGCCGGGGUCAACUCGGAGGAAGGUGAGGACGACGUCAAAUCAUCAUGCCCCUUAUGUCUUGGGCUUCACGCAUGCUACAAUGGCCGGUACAAUGGGUUGCGAUACUGUGAGGUGGAGCUAAUCCCAAAAAGCCGGUCUCAGUUCGGAUUGGGGUCUGCAACUCGACCCCAUGAAGUCGGAGUCGCUAGUAAUCGCAGAUCAGCAACGCUGCGGUGAAUACGUUCCCGGGCCUUGUACACACCGCCCGUCAAGUCACGAAAGUCGGUAACACCCGAAGCCGGUGGCCUAACCCUU